CCCGCGGUGCCACCGGCUCCGGGGUGGCCUCAUCCCGACCCCCCAGUGCCCUCGGCCACGGUCCGGGGCCGGGUGCCCACCCAGCACCGCGGUGCCCGACGGCCGAGGUCCGGUCCCGUGGCCAUUCCCAGCCUUUCCCAUCCCCGUGGAAGCAGAGGGGUUCCCGGUGUCGGUGACACUCCGGCUGUGCCGCCAUCCCUUCCAGGCAUCUCCAGAGCCACCGAGACAUUGCAUUUGGAAAAGCCAUCCGGGAGAAGGCAGAGCCCCAACCCACGUGGCCACUGCUCAGCUGUGCUGACCCCUCGGCCACGCUGACCCCUCAGUCACACUGACCCCUCAGUCACACUGACCCCUCGGCCACACUGACCCCUGGGUCACACUGACCCCUGGUCACACUGACCCGUCAGCCGUGCCGACCCCUUGGCCACGACAACCCCAUCGGCCGUGCCAACCCCUUUGGUCACCUCUUGGCCACACCAACCUAUCAGCCGCGCUGACCCCUCGGUCACACUGACCCCCCCCGGCCACAGCAACCCCUCGGCCGUGCCGAACCCUUGGCCACCCCUUGACCACGUCAAUCCAUCAGCCGUGUCGACCCCUCGGUCACACUGACCAGUCCUCCACGCCAACCUAUCGGCCACACCGUCCCCUCGGCCGCGUUGACCCCGUGGCCGUGCUGAACCCUUGGCCAACCCACCGGCCGUGCUGAACCUUUGGCCACCCCUUGGCCGUACCAACCCAGCGGCCGUGCUGACCCCUCGCUUGCCCCUUGGCCACGCUGGCCCCUCAGCCACCCAUCGGUCGUGCCAAACCCUUGGCCAGCCCUUGGCCCCACCAACCGCUUGGCCACGCCAACCCCGUGGCCGGGUUGACCCCUCGGCCACACUGACCCCUUGGCCCCACCAACUGCUUGGCCACACCAACCCCGUGGCCGGGUUGACCCCUCGGCCACGCCGACCCCCUUUGGCCACGCCAACCUACCGGCCACGCCAACCCUUCGGCCGUGCCGAGCCUUCGACCACCCCUCGGCCCUCCUGGCCCCCCCGGGCCACGCCAACCCCUCGGCCGUGCCGCCCCCGUGGCCACCCCCGGGCCCCGCCGUGCCCCCCCGUGCCGCGCAUGCCGUGGCGCCGGGCCCGGCCGCGGCGGUUACUGUGAUUCUCAUGGCUUCUCAACGACUUGGGUUUAAUCCGCUGUACAAAGGGAGACACUUUCUUUUUUUUUUUUAUUUUUUUCCUCCCCCCCCUCCGCUUCGAAGGGGGUGGGUUUGGUUUUUUUUUUUGGUUUUUCGGUUUUUUUUUUAGAAGCUGUUUAGGAGUAUUUUCCGUUGUCCAGCCGAGCGCCAUCGCCCCCCCUUCUUCCCCCCCCACGCCGCCUCCAUCAGCCUGUCCGUGACCUCCCCCUCCCGACCCCCCCAGACAAAACAACCCGGAGCACUUGGCUCCCGCUGGCCCCGUCCCGGACAGCCCUCACUGCCCAUGCAUGUGCCACCCGCGGAGCCACCCUCACGCCCACUGCAUGUGCACAGCCCGGCUCCCGCCGCGGCCCCGCCAUCCACACACUCUUGGUUCUCACCCAGACGGACUCACCUGUGGGUUUUCGUUCCCGGUUUUAAUUUUUUUCCCCCAGGGUCGGUUUGACUUCACCCUUAUUUUGUAUGGAUUUUUUCCGGAGGAGAUUUCUCCUUCUCCGGAGUCAUGGAGGUGCGGCCAUUCGCCUCCCGCCCUUGACGUUGUGAUACACAUCCCCCACAGAGAUCUAUGUUUCUUAUAUUAUAUUAUUAUUAUUAAUUAUUAUUAUUAUUAUGUAAUAAAUUUAUAAGAAAGCUC
Molecule: long non-coding RNA, 1829 nt
Organism: Neopelma chrysocephalum (saffron-crested tyrant-manakin)
Lineage: Eukaryota; Metazoa; Chordata; Aves; Passeriformes; Pipridae
Exons: 2
Source: RefSeq, a predicted model, not a curated record